RNAcentral lists this ribosomal RNA (253 nucleotides) under uncultured bacterium. Its description in RNAcentral is "partial 16S ribosomal RNA". It matches the Rfam family "Bacterial small subunit ribosomal RNA", at positions 524 to 776 of the family's 1533-position model. The record is from RNAcentral.
UACGGGGGGGGCAAGCGUUGUUCGGAAUUACUGGGCGUAAAGGGCUCGUAGGUGGCCAACUAAGUCAGACGUGAAAUCCCUCGGCUUAACCGGGGAACUGCGUCUGAUACUGGAUGGCUUGAGUUUGGGAGAGGGACGCGGAAUUCCAGGUGUAGCGGUGAAAUGCGUAGAUAUUAGCAGGAACACCGGUGGCGAAGGCGGCUAUCUGGACGACAACUGACGCUGAGGCGCGAAAGCGUGGGGAUCAAACAGG